GGGGGAUAUUGCACAAUGGGGGAAACCCUGAUGCAGCGACGCCGCGUGGAGGAAGAAGGUUUUCGGAUUGUAAACUCCUGUCGUUAGGGACGAUAAUGACGGUACCUAACAAGAAAGCACCGGCUAACUACGUGCCAGCAGCCGCGGUAAAACGUAGGGUGCAAGCGUUGUCCGGAAUUACUGGGUGUAAAGGGAGCGCAGGCGGGAAGACAAGUUGGAAGUGAAAACCAUGGGCUCAACCCAUGAAUUGCUUUCAAAACUGUUUUUCUUGAGUAGUGCAGAGGUAGAUGGAAUUCCCGGUGUAGCGGUGGAAUGCGUAGAUAUCGGGAGGAACACCAGUGGCGAAGGCGGUCUACUGGGCACCAACUGACGCUGAGGCUCGAAAGCAUGGGUAGCAAACAGGAUUAGAUACCCUGGUAGUCCACACCGUAAACGAUGAUUACUAGGUGUUGGAGGAUUGACCCCUUCAGUGCCGCAGUUAACACAAUAAGUAAUCCACCUGGGGAGUACGACCGCAAGGUUGAAACUCAAAGGAAUUGACGGGGGCCCGCACAAGCAGUGGAGUAUGUGGUUUAAUUCGACGCAACGCGAAGAACCUUACCAAGUCUUGACAUCCGUUGACCGACAUAGAAAUAUGUUUUUCCUUCGGGACAGCGAGACAGGUGGUGCAUGGUUGUCGUCAGCUCGUGUCGUGAGAUGUUGGGUUAAGUCCCGCAACGAGCGCAACCCUUAUGGUCAGUUACUACGCAAGAGGACUCUGGCCAGACUGCCGUUGACAAAACGGAGGAAGGUGGGGAUGACGUCAAAUCAUCAUGCCCCUUAUGACCUGGGCUACACACGUACUACAAUGGAUGUUAACAGAGGGAAGCAAGACAGCGAUGUGGAGCAAACCCCUAAAAACAUUCUCAGUUCAGAUUGCAGGCUGCAACCCGCCUGCAUGAAGAUGGAAUUGCUAGUAAUCGCGGAUCAGCAUGCCGCGGUGAAUACGUUCCCG
RNAcentral lists this ribosomal RNA (994 nucleotides) under uncultured organism. Its description in RNAcentral is "bacterial SSU rRNA". It matches the Rfam family "Bacterial small subunit ribosomal RNA", at positions 356 to 1376 of the family's 1533-position model. The record is from RNAcentral.